RNAcentral lists this ribosomal RNA (440 nucleotides) under uncultured bacterium. RNAcentral describes it as "partial 16S ribosomal RNA". It matches the Rfam family "Bacterial small subunit ribosomal RNA", at positions 338 to 795 of the family's 1533-position model. The record is from RNAcentral.
CCUACGGGAGGCAGCAGUGGGGGAUAUUGCACAAUGGGGGGAACCCUGAUGCAGCGACGCCGCGUGGGUGAAGAAGCGCCUCGGCGCGUAAAGCCCUGUCAGCAGGGAAGAAAAUGACGGUACCUGAAGAAGAAGCCCCGGCUAACUACGUGCCAGCAGCCGCGGUAAUACGUAGGGGGCAAGCGUUAUCCGGAUUUACUGGGUGUAAAGGGGGCGCAGACGGCGAUGCAAGCCAGGAGUGAAAGCCCGGGGCCCAACCCCGGGACUGCUCUUGGAACUGCGUGGCUGGAGUGCAGGAGGGGCAGGCGGAAGUCCUGGUGUAGCGGUGGAAUGCGUAGAUAUCAGGAGGAACACCGGUGGCGAAGGCGGCCUGCUGGACUGCAACUGACGUUGAGGCCCGAAAGCGUGGGGAGCAAACAGGAUUAGAUACCCCAGUAGUC